CAACUCCUAAAACAUACCACACACCAAAAGAAAAAAGGAAAGACCUAUCUCAAUCAUACUUGUAUUGAUUCAUCUGACACAAGGUCAUUGAUGAAUCAAUUAGCCUUGAGACAUUAGAGAUUUUAUUGGCCCAAUGAGGGAAUGAGAAAGAAUAGGGAUGAAGAUGAAGAGGGAGGGGGAGAUAGAAACACAAAUUUAUCAUGAGAGGAAUUUCAUCAAAUCAAAA
This 226-nucleotide long non-coding RNA is filed under the name Lathyrus oleraceus (garden pea). Its description in RNAcentral is "Pisum sativum (pea) long non-coding RNA (PSAT_LNC025724)". The record is from RNAcentral. Lineage: Eukaryota; Viridiplantae; Streptophyta; Magnoliopsida; Fabales; Fabaceae.